CCUACGGGCGGCAGCAGUGGGGAAUAUUGGACAAUGGGGGGAACCCUGAUCCAGCCAUGCCGCGUGUGUGAAGAAGGCCCUCGGGUUGUAAAGCACUUUCAGUGAGGAAGAACGCCUGGUGGUUAAUACCCAUCAGGAAAGACAUCACUUACAGAAGAAGCACCGGCUAACUCCGUGCCAGCAGCCGCGGUAAUACGGAGGGUGCGAGCGUUAAUCGGAAUUACUGGGCGUAAAGCGCGCGUAGGUGGCUUGAUAAGCCGGUUGUGAAAGCCCCGGGCUCAACCUGGGAACGGCAUCCGGACCUGCCAAGCUAGCGUGCAGGAGAGGAAGGUAGAAUGCCCGGGGGAGGGGGGCAAUGCGUAGAGAUCGGGAGGAAUACCAGUGGCGAAGGCGGCCUCCUGGAGUGACCCUGACACUGAGGUGCGAAAGCGUGGGUAGCAAACAGGAUUAGAUACCCCGGUAGUC
RNAcentral lists this ribosomal RNA (465 nucleotides) under Vreelandella stevensii. RNAcentral's name for it is "partial 16S ribosomal RNA". It matches the Rfam family "Bacterial small subunit ribosomal RNA", at positions 338 to 795 of the family's 1533-position model. Lineage: Bacteria; Pseudomonadati; Pseudomonadota; Gammaproteobacteria; Oceanospirillales; Halomonadaceae. The record is from RNAcentral.